CAAAAGUCUAGAACUGGUUCACAUUAUUGAUGAAGGAUAAUCAAUAUAACAUUCAUGAAUCCAAAUGAUCGAAUUCUAAAUAAAGCAAAUCUUCUUAGGUUUCAAUUUCCAGAAAUAUCAUAAGUUGGCAAAAAAGGAAGAACUACCUAAAGAAAAUAAAAUGAUUUAUAAGCGAUAAGAUAGAAGAAAUCCAAACAAUAUGGGCACCAGUAGAACCAAAAUGAUUAUCUGCAAAAAAGUUGCGAUGAAAUUAAAUCGAAUAAAAUGUCUAAGAACCAAAAAAAAAGAAUAAAUAUCGUUAAGAUUUUCAUCUCACCAAUAUCAUGCUAUACAUCGAUUUGCUUUCGUAGGUAUUAUAUAGUCUGGGUAAAAAAGGGAUGAUUAGAUAUGAUAAUGUGUCGUAAUAUUAAAGGAAAAAAAAAUGUAAGCAGAGUUAUUGGGUUUCAUAGAUUUGUGAUCAAACUAUUUUAAUUUUUAAUUCCAAAUGAACAUAAAAAAAAUUAAUUUGGACUUUGGAGGUAGAGAAAAU
RNAcentral lists this long non-coding RNA (529 nucleotides) under Zostera marina. RNAcentral describes it as "long non-coding RNA (ZMAR_LNC004567)". The record is from RNAcentral. Lineage: Eukaryota; Viridiplantae; Streptophyta; Magnoliopsida; Alismatales; Zosteraceae.